UACGUAGGGUGCAAGCGUUGUCCGGAAUUAUUGGGCGUAAAGAGCUCGUAGGCGGUCUGUCACGUCGGCUGUGAAAACCUGAGGCUCAACCUCAGGCCUGCAGUCGAUACGAGCAGACUAGAGUGUUGCAGGGGAGACUGGAAUUCCUGGUGUAGCGGUGAAAUGCGCAGAUAUCAGGAGGAACACCGGUGGCGAAGGCGGGUCUCUGGGUCGUACCUGACGCUGAGGAACGAAAGCCAGGGGAGCGAACGGG
This 253-nucleotide ribosomal RNA is filed under the name uncultured bacterium. RNAcentral's name for it is "partial 16S ribosomal RNA". It matches the Rfam family "Bacterial small subunit ribosomal RNA", at positions 524 to 776 of the family's 1533-position model. The record is from RNAcentral.